This 497-nucleotide ribosomal RNA is filed under the name uncultured bacterium. Its description in RNAcentral is "partial 16S ribosomal RNA". It matches the Rfam family "Bacterial small subunit ribosomal RNA", at positions 28 to 507 of the family's 1533-position model. The record is from RNAcentral.
GAUGAACGCUGGCGGCGUGCCUAACACAUGCAAGUCGAACGGACAGAUAAUGAGCUUGUGCCUUUGCCGUUAGCGGCGGGCGGGUGAGUAACGCGUGGGUCAGCAACUUCUAUUUCUGGGAGAAUUACGUGAAAAAGGUUCCAAUACCAGAUCAUACUUGGAACCGCAUGGUUCUAAGGAGAUUCGUGGCUUUGCUGUCAGUAAUAGCCGAUCCCGGGCUGUAUUAGCUGGUUGGUAAGGUAACGGCCUACCAAGGCGACGAAACGUAGCCGACCUGAGGGGGUGAUCGGCCACACUGGAACUGAGACACGGUCCAGACUCCUACGGGAGGCAGCAGUGGGGAAUGUUGGGCAAUGGGCGAAAGCCUGACGCAGCCAUGCCGCGUGGGUGAUGAAGGCUUUCGGCUCGUAAAGCCCUGUUGUUGGGGAAGAACAGAUGUGGAAUAAAACGUGGAUGUUUUGACGGUACCUAAUCAAAAAGCACCGGCUAACUACGUG